RNAcentral lists this ribosomal RNA (970 nucleotides) under uncultured bacterium. Its description in RNAcentral is "bacterial SSU rRNA". It matches the Rfam family "Bacterial small subunit ribosomal RNA", at positions 8 to 973 of the family's 1533-position model. The record is from RNAcentral.
AGAGUUUGAUCCUGGCUCAGAUUGAACGCUGGCGGCAUGCCUUACACAUGCAAGUCGAACGGCAGCACGGGUGCUUGCACCUGGUGGCGAGUGGCGAACGGGUGAGUAAUAUAUCGGAACGUACCUUAUCGUGGGGGAUAACGCAGCGAAAGCUGCGCUAAUACCGCAUACGCCCUGAGGGGGAAAGCGGGGGACCGUAAGGCCUCGCGCGAUUAGAGCGGCCGAUAUCUGAUUAGCUUGUUGGUGGGGUAAAAGCCCACCAAGGCGACGAUCAGUAGCUGGUCUGAGAGGACGAUCAGCCACACUGGGACUGAGACACGGCCCAGACUCCUACGGGAGGCAGCAGUGGGGAAUUUUGGACAAUGGGGGCAACCCUGAUCCAGCAAUGCCGCGUGAGUGAAGAAGGCCUUCGGGUUGUAAAGCUCUUUUGUCAGGGAAGAAACAGCAGCUCUAACACAGUCUGCGAAUGACGGUACCUGAAGAAUAAGCACCGGCUAACUACGUGCCAGCAGCCGCGGUAAUACGUAGGGUGCAAGCGUUAAUCGGAAUUACUGGGCGUAAAGCGUGCGCAGGCGGUUAUACAAGACAGGCGUGAAAUCCCCGGGCUUAACCUGGGAAUGGCGUCUGUGACUGUAUGACUAGAGUGUGUCAGAGGGGGGUAGAAUUCCACGUGUAGCAGUGAAAUGCGUAGAUAUGUGGAGGAAUACCAAUGGCGAAGGCAGCCCCCUGGGAUAACACUGACGCUCAUGCACGAAAGCGUGGGGAGCAAACAGGAUUAGAUACCCUGGUAGUCCACGCCCUAAACGAUGCCGACUAGUUGUUGGGAAUUUACAUUCUCAGUAACGUAGCUAACGCGUGAAGUCGGCCGCCUGGGGAGUACGGUCGCAAGAUUAAAACUCAAAGGAAUUGACGGGGACCCGCACAAGCGGUGGAUGAUGUGGAUUAAUUCGAUGCAACGCGAAAAACCUUA